RNAcentral lists this ribosomal RNA (424 nucleotides) under uncultured prokaryote. RNAcentral's name for it is "bacterial SSU rRNA". It matches the Rfam family "Bacterial small subunit ribosomal RNA", at positions 355 to 776 of the family's 1533-position model. The record is from RNAcentral. RNAcentral also lists the same sequence under 1 other name.
UAAGGAAUAUUGGUCAAUGGGCGGAAGCCUGAACCAGCCAUGCCGCGUGCAGGAUGACUGCCCUCUGGGUUGUAAACUGCUUUUGUCCAGGAAUAAACCUAGAUACGUGUAUCUAGCUGAAUGUACUGGAAGAAUAAGGAUCGGCUAACUCCGUGCCAGCAGCCGCGGUAAGACGGAGGAUCCGAGCGUUAUCCGGAUUUAUUGGGUUUAAAGGGUGCGUAGGCGGCCUAUUAAGUCAGGGGUGAAAUACGGUGGCUCAACCAUCGCAGUGCCUUGGAUACUGAUGGGCUUGAAUCCAUUUGAAGUGGGCGGAAUAAGACAAGUAGCGGUGAAAUGCAUAGAUAUGUCUUAGAACUCCGAUUGCGAAGGCAGCUCACUAAGCUGGUAUUGACGCUGAUGCACGAAAGCGUGGGGAUCGAACAGG